GCCUCCUUAUUUCAGUGGAAGAAUUUUUCCCUUCUACUCUGUAGAGUCGAGGAAACGGUCGCGGGUUCGAGUCCCGCAGGAGGUU
This is a transfer RNA of Trichosporon asahii var. asahii CBS 8904, 85 nucleotides long. It matches the Rfam family "tRNA". Rfam says of the family: Transfer RNA (tRNA) molecules are approximately 80 nucleotides in length. Their secondary structure includes four short double-helical elements and three loops (D, anti-codon, and T loops). The record is from Rfam. Lineage: Eukaryota; Fungi; Basidiomycota; Tremellomycetes; Trichosporonales; Trichosporonaceae.